UACGGGGGGGGCAAGCGUUGUUCGGAAUUACUGGGCGUAAAGGGCUCGUAGGCGGCCAACUAAGUCUGCCGUGAAAUCCCUCGGCUUAACCGGGGAACUGCGUCCGAUACUGGAUGGCUUGAGUGUGGGAGAGGGAUGCGGAAUUCCAGGUGUAGCGGUGAAAUGCGUAGAUAUCUGGAGGAACACCGGUGGCGAAGGCGGCAUCCUGGACCACGACUGACGCUGAGGAGCGAAAGCCAGGGGAGCAAACGGG
RNAcentral lists this ribosomal RNA (253 nucleotides) under uncultured bacterium. RNAcentral describes it as "partial 16S ribosomal RNA". It matches the Rfam family "Bacterial small subunit ribosomal RNA", at positions 524 to 776 of the family's 1533-position model. The record is from RNAcentral.